Molecule: unclassified non-coding RNA, 131 nt
Filed under: uncultured fungus
Lineage: Eukaryota; Fungi
Description: sequence contains ITS1
Source: RNAcentral
CAAAUCUUAUAGUGGCGUGGCGCGGGGAGGUUAUCCUAACCCGUGGCCAGCCAUGUUUGCACGGGGCGAGCGAUCGCCUCGAUGUUUACGCUUGUGAGUUUGACAGAGGUAUGAGUGAGGAGAAAUUUAGA